UACUAGAGUAGCACUCGCAUAUCAAUAAGCGGAGGAAAAGAAACUAACAAGGAUUCCCCUAGUAACGGCGAGUGAAACGGGAAGAGCUCAAAUUUGAAAUCUUAAAGGGUUUCCCUUUACGAAUUGUAGUUUAAAGAAGUGUUUUCUGUUGAGGUUUUGGUAAAAGUUCUUUGGAAUAGGACAUCAUAGAGGGUGAGAAUCCCGUAUUUGACCUUUACUUUCAACUUUGUGAUACACUUUCAAAGAGUCGGAUUGUUUGGGAAUGCAGUCCAAAAUGGGUGGUAAAUUUCAUCUAAAGCUAAAUAUUGGCGAGAGACCGAUAGCGAACAAGUACCAUGAGGGAAAGAUGAAAAGAACUUUGAAAAGAGAGUUAAACAGUACGUGAAAUUGUCAAAAGGGAAGCGUUUGACACCAGUGUUGUUUUUCUGAAAAUCAAUUAAAGAACUGUUUAUGCUAAGCUGUUUAGACUUUAUCAGCUAUCUGUUUAGUUUUGAGCUUUUCUUUAAUGCACUUUUCAGUUAACAAGUCAACAUCAAUUUCUUUUGCUGUAAAAAAGCUUGAGGAAGGUGGCUUGAGAUUCGUCUUAAGUGUUUAUAGCCUCUUGCCUAUGCAGUCGGAGAGAUUGAGGUCUGCAGCGUAGAUCCUUCGGGGCUAAAUGCAUUUGUGCUAAGUUAUAGCAUUUUAUAGACAACUUGUUGACUAUGAUUUGUCUUGUAGCUUACUCGCUUAUGUUAUUUUACCUACGCUUAGGAUGUUGAGCGCAUGUCUCUAUCU
RNAcentral lists this ribosomal RNA (774 nucleotides) under uncultured Neocallimastigales. RNAcentral describes it as "partial large subunit ribosomal RNA". It matches the Rfam family "Eukaryotic large subunit ribosomal RNA", at positions 20 to 646 of the family's 3401-position model. Lineage: Eukaryota; Fungi; Neocallimastigomycota; Neocallimastigomycetes; Neocallimastigales. The record is from RNAcentral.